UACGUAGGGGGCGAGCGUUGUCCGGAUUUAUUGGGCGUAAAGAGCUCGUAGGCGGCUCACUAAGUCGGAUGUGAAAUCUCAGGGCUCAACCCUGAAACUGCAUUCGAUACUGCGUGGCUAGAGUGCUGGAGAGGAGACUGGAAUUUACGGUGUAGCAGUGAAAUGCGUAGAUAUCGUAAGGAAGACCAGUGGCGAAGGCGAGUCUCUGGACAGCAACUGACGCUGAGGCACGAAGGCCAGGGGAGCAAACGGG
Molecule: ribosomal RNA, 253 nt
Filed under: uncultured bacterium
Lineage: Bacteria
Description: partial 16S ribosomal RNA
Rfam family: Bacterial small subunit ribosomal RNA
Source: RNAcentral